GACGAACGCUGGCGGUGUGCUUAACACAUGCAAGUCGAACGGUAAGGCCCUUUCGGGGGUCCACGGGUGGCGAACGGGUGAGUAACACGUGAGUAACCUGCCCUCAUCUCUGGGAUAACAGUCGGAAACGGUUGCUAAUACUGGAUAUGAGCUUGCAAGGCAUCUUGUGGGUUGGAAAGAUUUUUUUUGGUUGGGGAUGGACUCGCGGCCUAUCAGCUUGUUGGUGAGGUAGUGGCUCACCAAGGCUUCGACGGGUAGCCGGCCUGAGAGGGCGACCGGCCACAUUGGGACUGAGAUACGGCCCAAACUCCUACGGGAGGCAGCAGUGGGGAAUAUUGCACAAUGGACGGAAGUCUGAUGCAGCAACGCCGCGUGCGGGAUGACGGCCUUCGGGUUGUAAACCGCUUUCAAUUGUGACGAAGCUUUUUUGUGACGGUAGCAGUAGAAGAAGCACCGGCUAACUACGUG
Molecule: ribosomal RNA, 468 nt
Filed under: uncultured bacterium
Lineage: Bacteria
Description: partial 16S ribosomal RNA
Rfam family: Bacterial small subunit ribosomal RNA
Source: RNAcentral